RNAcentral lists this ribosomal RNA (253 nucleotides) under uncultured bacterium. Its description in RNAcentral is "partial 16S ribosomal RNA". It matches the Rfam family "Bacterial small subunit ribosomal RNA", at positions 524 to 776 of the family's 1533-position model. The record is from RNAcentral.
UACGUAGGGUGCAAGCGUUGCUCGGAAUUACUGGGCGUAAAGGGUCUGUAGGCGGUGCGGCAAGUCGGAAGUGAAAUCGCAGGGCUUAACUCUGCGGCUGCUUCCGAAACUGCCGUGCUCGAGUGUGAGAUAGGCGAGUGGAAUUGCAGGUGUAGCGGUGAAAUGCGUAGAUAUCUGCAGGAACAUCCGAGGCGAAAGCGGCUCGCUGGAUCACAACUGACGCUGAGAGACGAAAGCUAGGGGAGCAAACAGG